UUCUUCGGAAUGAAGAUUUUAGUGACUGAGUGGCGGACGGGUGAGUAACGCGUGGGUAACCUGCCUCAUACAGGGGGAUAACAGUUAGAAAUGACUGCUAAUACCGCAUAAGACCACAGCACCGCAUGGUGCAGGGGUAAAAACUCCGGUGGUAUGAGAUGGACCCGCGUCUGAUUAGGUAGUUGGUGGGGUAACGGCCUACCAAGCCGACGAUCAGUAGCCGACCUGAGAGGGUGACCGGCCACAUUGGGACUGAGACACGGCCCAAACUCCUACGGGAGGCAGCAGUGGGGAAUAUUGCACAAUGGGGGAAACCCUGAUGCAGCGACGCCGCGUGAGCGAUGAAGUAUUUCGGUAUGUAAAGCUCUAUCAGCAGGGAAGAAAUGACGGUACCUGACUAAGAAGCACCGGCUAAAUACGUGCCAGCAGCCGCGGUAAUACGUAUGGUGCAAGCGUUAUCCGGAUUUACUGGGUGUAAAGGGAGCGCAGGCGGAAGGCUAAGUCUGAUGUGAAAGCCCGGGGCUCAACCCCGGUACUGCAUUGGAAACUGGUCAUCUAGAGUGUCGGAGGGGUAAGUGGAAUUCCUAGUGUAGCGGUGAAAUGCGUAGAUAUUAGGAGGAACACCAGUGG
RNAcentral lists this ribosomal RNA (630 nucleotides) under uncultured Lachnospiraceae bacterium. RNAcentral describes it as "bacterial SSU rRNA". It matches the Rfam family "Bacterial small subunit ribosomal RNA", at positions 76 to 715 of the family's 1533-position model. Lineage: Bacteria; Bacillati; Bacillota; Clostridia; Lachnospirales; Lachnospiraceae. The record is from RNAcentral.